CGUUUAGCUCCGCUGCUUCCAAUGCUAGUCUCCAAAUGUCAGAGCACUUUUGUGCAAAAGCGGUGCAUCCACGAUAACUUCUUGCAUGUUCAGAAUUUGGUGAAGGAACUACAUCGCACUUCAACGCCUGGCCUCUUCCUUAAGUUGGGCAUCUCUAAGGCUCUCGACUCCGUGGGCUGGGCCUACCUACUGGAGGUACUUCAGCAGCUGGGAUUCAGCCAUCGUUGGCGAGACUGGAUUUGCAUGACACCCGCAUCAUCUUCCUCCAAAAUCCUGUUGAAUGGGGACCCAGGCAGCCCUUUUGCUCACGCAUGUGGUCUGCGCCAGGGUGACCCCCUGUCCCCCAUGCUAUUGAUCCUGGCCAUCGAUCCUCUUCAGCUCAUGCUUCGGGCGGCUACCCAGGCAGGGAUCCUCAAGUCGAUCAAGGCUCAUUCGGCUUCCUACAGAAUCUCCCUCUACGUCGAUGAUGCUGGCAUCUUCGCCAAUCCGGUCAAGGAAGAGCUAGACGCCAUUGCCGGCAUCUUGGCUUGUUUUGGACAGGCAUCGGGCCUCAUCACUAACGUGACCAAGACGGAGGUGUUUUCCAUUCGUUGCCAAGGGAUUGAUCUGGUCAACAUCCUUUCGGGCUUCCCUAUGAAGAUCGCCUCCUUCCCUACCAAGUACUUGGUCCUCCCUCUGCAUACAGGGCGGCUUAAAAGGGUUGACCUUGUGACGCCCAGGUAA
This 723-nucleotide ribosomal RNA is filed under the name Triticum aestivum (bread wheat). Its description in RNAcentral is "partial small subunit ribosomal RNA". Lineage: Eukaryota; Viridiplantae; Streptophyta; Magnoliopsida; Poales; Poaceae. The record is from RNAcentral.